This is a non-coding RNA of Malus domestica (apple), 429 nucleotides long. Lineage: Eukaryota; Viridiplantae; Streptophyta; Magnoliopsida; Rosales; Rosaceae. The record is from RefSeq and is a predicted model, not a curated record.
UCACUAUUGCACCGACGGGCGGGGCGACGAGUCGAUGACAUCUCUGGUGAAAAUCUACAUUUUUUCUCCGUGUAAAGCUCUGGUCUGGACUCUGGAGGCUAGCCGCUGGUCCUCUUCUUCUUGGUCGAAAAGAUGUAAUAGCUCAUUAGAACCCGGAAGGCGAUGAGUUUUACACCUUGAUCGACGACUACACCUACUACUGCCGCCACUCCUUCGGCAGAGAUGGACCAUAGGUCAAUGAAUCCGGUUGACCCAGUUGGUCCUCCAGUCCUACUGGCACCGGCAUAUUCGACUUCUUCGAUGGUGCUACCUGUUAGCGCCCGACGUGCUCACUGGUGCCCCCGCACUCCAUACCAGAUGUCGCCAACGGGAUCCACAACCAAUGCCUCCGCCAAGAAAAACACCUGGGGACCUUGUCGGCAAUUGAAG